Molecule: ribosomal RNA, 519 nt
Filed under: uncultured eukaryote
Lineage: Eukaryota
Description: SSU rRNA
Rfam family: Eukaryotic small subunit ribosomal RNA
Source: RNAcentral
AGGGCACCACCAGGAGUGGAGCCUGCGGCUUAAUUUGACUCAACACGGGAAAACUCACCCGGCCCGGACACUGGAAGGAUUGACAGAUUGAGAGCUCUUUCUUGAUUCAGUGGGUGGUGGUGCAUGGCCGUUCUUAGUUGGUGGAGUGAUUUGUCUGGUUAAUUCCGAUAACGAACGAGACUCUAGCCUACUAAAUAGAUAGUCGGCUUACAAACGUCGACUAGACUUCUUAGAGGGACAGGCGGUGAUUCAACCGCACGAAACAGAGCAAUAACAGGUCUGUGAUGCCCUUAGAUGUCCGGGGCCGCACGCGCGCUACACUGAAGUGAUCAGCGUGCUUUUUCAGCCUACUCUGUCAAGAGUGGGAAACCCAAUGAACCUUCUUCGUGAUUGGGAUAGGGGACUGUAAUUAUUCCCCUUGAACGAGGAAUUCCCAGUAAGCGCGAGUCAUAAGCUCGCGUUGAUUACGUCCCUGCCCUUUGUACACACCGCCCGUCGCUACUACCGAUUGAAUGUUUU